RNAcentral lists this unclassified non-coding RNA (253 nucleotides) under uncultured Rickettsiales bacterium. RNAcentral describes it as "contains 16S-23S intergenic spacer region". It matches the Rfam family "Bacterial small subunit ribosomal RNA", at positions 524 to 776 of the family's 1533-position model. The record is from RNAcentral. Lineage: Bacteria; Pseudomonadati; Pseudomonadota; Alphaproteobacteria; Rickettsiales.
UACGAAGGGUGCUAGCGUUGUUCGGAAUUACUGGGCGUAAAGGGUACGUAGGCGGUUUAGUAAGUUGAUUGUGAAAGCCCUGGGCUCAACCCAGGAAUUGCAGCCAAAACUGCUUUGCUAGAGUUUAGUUGGGGAUAGUGGAAUUCCUAGUGUAGGGGUGAAAUCCGUAGAGAUUAGGAGGAACACCAGUGGCGAAAGCGACUAUCUAAGCUAAUACUGACGCUAAGGUACGAAAGCGUGGGGAGCAAACAGG